Molecule: ribosomal RNA, 1803 nt
Filed under: Triticum aestivum (bread wheat)
Lineage: Eukaryota; Viridiplantae; Streptophyta; Magnoliopsida; Poales; Poaceae
Description: partial small subunit ribosomal RNA
Source: RNAcentral
AUGGCGGCGACUGCGUUCCGGUCGGCGGCGAGGAGGGACGCGUUCGGGGCCGCGGAGGGCGACGGCGGCGGCGGGUCCGCCGCGCGCGGCCGGACGCCGGACGGCGCGGGCGGCCUACGCCGGUCGAGGAGCCUGAGCCGGUUCCCGCCGCCGUCGCCGUCCCCGGAGGACGCGCCGACGCCCUCCUCGAGGUUCGUGACCAAGGUGCGGGGCGGGGGGCCGUCGGGCGGGUUUCCGGAGAUCAGCCUCGACGACCUGGCGGACGAGUUCUUCCGGGCCAGGGUGGAGUCCGAGGACGACGACGAGGAGGUGGUGGUGCAGCGCGGGGAGGACGACUCGCGCGGGCGGCUCAGGUUCCCGGCGCCCGCGGAGAAGGGCCGCGGCGGUCGGCGGAGCUCCACCGCGCGGUACGCCAGGGAGACGGCGUCGUCCAGGCAGCGCGAGCGCUCGGCGUCGCGGUCCCCGCUGGAGCGGCGGGGCGGAGCCGCCGCGGCUGAAAAUGGCGCUGCCGCCGCCACGAGGCAGAGGUAUGCCUCGGUGGAUCGGCAUGCUUCCAUUGGUCGGCAACGGUAUGCCUCGGUGGACCGCCGUGCUUCGACGGACCGGCAGCGGUGGUGUGAAUCGGAUAAUGAUAUGGACUUUUCUCGCCGGUCUGGUUCUAGGGGGACAAAUACCAAAUCUAGCAGUGGCCAUAGUCUGCAGAAUUCACUUAAUAAGUCUAAAGUGAAUCAAACUCUGACAAGGUCUACAAGUCAAAAUGAUUUUGUACAUUUACGAGACAGCGGCUCGAGCCAUUCUUCGUUAACUGAUGAUGAAUCUAGGGAUGCUCAUUCUUUUCAUAGCAGAAAUUACAGUGGAAAUCGGGCUGUUUAUUCCCAGGAGAAGCCAAUUGAAGAUAAUGAUUCAAAUGUGCUGUAUGAUGUGAUGCGUAAAGAAGUGAGGCAAGCUGUUGAAGAAAUCAGAACUCAGCUUGAAAAGGCCGUGACAAACUCUGAACCUUCAGAAAAGGCUAGAAGUGAUGAUGCGCAGCCAACCCAGGUUAUUGGUGAACUCCGUAGGAACUACACUAGCAAGUUGGAAGAGUCAGAGAAGAGGAAGCAGGAAUUACUAGCUCAAUUGGCGGCAGAAGAACAACGUGGUCAUGAACUCACAAAAAUAGUUAAAGAAUUACUGCCUACUACUAAGAAGAAUGUUAAACCGGAGAGGCCGCCACCACGCAGAAGAAGGAGCAAUGAUAGAGCAAGGAUGUCGAAAUGCCUUACCAAAGAGGCCGAGCUAUACUUUGAAGAUUUCCUGUCAAAUGUUGAAGAUACCGAUUUUUCAUCGUUUGAUGGUGAAAGAAGUGACACGAGUUCAACUCGACGAGAUGUGGUACUUCGUGCUAUGGCGGAAACUCAUGUAGUCCUUCCGAAAGUUGCACCACCUGUUGUGUCAGAUGGUGUUGUCCUUCCUUGGUUGCAAUGGGAAACUAGCAACGAUCUACAUGCCUCCCCAACCACAAUCAAGACACAGGACGCAAGCACUGCAUGCAGCACCAGCAGUCACACCAUGAGCAGCCGUGGGAGCUGGAGCCCUGGAGACCAUGAUAGCUCAGCUGGCUCCAAAGAUGGACUACUCUCCAGGUUCAACGAGGCCGCGACUCGCCUAAGCAGCUGCCCCGAUAAUAAGCGAGGCACAUCGUUCCAUAUGGACGACUAUCUGCAUCUGCGGAGGAGCGAGGAUUUCCUCUUUGAGCGAUUGAGUCAGAAGCAAAGAAUCGACUAUGGCGGUCUAACCGUAUGCAGGAGGUCGACAAUAAUAUAG